UUAAGCGACUAAGCGUACACGGUGGAUGCCCUGGCAGUCAGAGGCGAUGAAGGACGUGCUAAUCUGCGAUAAGCGUCGGUAAGGUGAUAUGAACCGUUAUAACCGGCGAUUUCCGAAUGGGGAAACCCAGUGUGAUUCGUCACACUAUCAUUAACUGAAUCCAUAGGUUAAUGAGGCGAACCGGGGGAACUGAAACAUCUAAGUACCCCGAGGAAAAGAAAUCAACCGAGAUUCCCCCAGUAGCGGCGAGCGAACGGGGAGCAGCCCAGAGCCUGAAUCAGUGUGUGUGUUAGUGGAAGCGUCUGGAAAGGCGUGCGAUACAGGGUGACAGCCCCGUACACAAAAAUGCACAUGCUGUGAGCUCGAUGAGUAGGGCGGGACACGUGGUAUCCUGUCUGAAUAUGGGGGGACCAUCCUCCAAGGCUAAAUACUCCUGACUGACCGAUAGUGAACCAGUACCGUGAGGGAAAGGCGAAAAGAACCCCGGCGAGGGGAGUGAAAAAGAACCUGAAACCGUGUACGUACAAGCAGUGGGAGCACGCUUAGGCGUGUGACUGCGUACCUUUUGUAUAAUGGGUCAGCGACUUAUAUUCUGUAGCAAGGUUAACCGAAUAGGGGAGCCGAAGGGAAACCGAGUCUUAACUGGGCGUUAAGUUGCAGGGUAUAGACCCGAAACCCGGUGAUCUAGCCAUGGGCAGGUUGAAGGUUGGGUAACACUAACUGGAGGACCGAACCGACUAAUGUUGAAAAAUUAGCGGAUGACUUGUGGCUGGGGGUGAAAGGCCAAUCAAACCGGGAGAUAGCUGGUUCUCCCCGAAAGCUAUUUAGGUAGCGCCUCGUGAAUUCAUCUCCGGGGGUAGAGCACUGUUUCGGCAAGGGGGUCAUCCCGACUUACCAACCCGAUGCAAACUGCGAAUACCGGAGAAUGUUAUCACGGGAGACACACGGCGGGUGCUAACGUCCGUCGUGAAGAGGGAAACAACCCAGACCGCCAGCUAAGGUCCCAAAGUCAUGGUUAAGUGGGAAACGAUGUGGGAAGGCCCAGACAGCCAGGAUGUUGGCUUAGAAGCAGCCAUCAUUUAAAGAAAGCGUAAUAGCUCACUGGUCGAGUCGGCCUGCGCGGAAGAUGUAACGGGGCUAAACCAUGCACCGAAGCUGCGGCAGCGACGCUUAUGCGUUGUUGGGUAGGGGAGCGUUCUGUAAGCCUGUGAAGGUGUACUGUGAGGUAUGCUGGAGGUAUCAGAAGUGCGAAUGCUGACAUAAGUAACGAUAAAGCGGGUGAAAAGCCCGCUCGCCGGAAGACCAAGGGUUCCUGUCCAACGUUAAUCGGGGCAGGGUGAGUCGACCCCUAAGGCGAGGCCGAAAGGCGUAGUCGAUGGGAAACAGGUUAAUAUUCCUGUACUUGGUGUUACUGCGAAGGGGGGACGGAGAAGGCUAUGUUGGCCGGGCGACGGUUGUCCCGGUUUAAGCGUGUAGGCUGGUUUUCCAGGCAAAUCCGGAAAAUCAAGGCUGAGGCGUGAUGACGAGGCACUACGGUGCUGAAGCAACAAAUGCCCUGCUUCCAGGAAAAGCCUCUAAGCAUCAGGUAACAUCAAAUCGUACCCCAAACCGACACAGGUGGUCAGGUAGAGAAUACCAAGGCGCUUGAGAGAACUCGGGUGAAGGAACUAGGCAAAAUGGUGCCGUAACUUCGGGAGAAGGCACGCUGAUAUGUAGGUGAAGCGACUUGCUCGUGGAGCUGAAAUCAGUCGAAGAUACCAGCUGGCUGCAACUGUUUAUUAAAAACACAGCACUGUGCAAACACGAAAGUGGACGUAUACGGUGUGACGCCUGCCCGGUGCCGGAAGGUUAAUUGAUGGGGUCAGCGCAAGCGAAGCUCUUGAUCGAAGCCCCGGUAAACGGCGGCCGUAACUAUAACGGUCCUAAGGUAGCGAAAUUCCUUGUCGGGUAAGUUCCGACCUGCACGAAUGGCGUAAUGAUGGCCAGGCUGUCUCCACCCGAGACUCAGUGAAAUUGAACUCGCUGUGAAGAUGCAGUGUACCCGCGGCAAGACGGAAAGACCCCGUGAACCUUUACUAUAGCUUGACACUGAACAUUGAGCCUUGAUGUGUAGGAUAGGUGGGAGGCUUGGAAGUGUGGACGCCAGUCUGCAUGGAGCCGACCUUGAAAUACCACCCUUUAAUGUUUGAUGUUCUAACGUUGACCCGUAAUCCGGGUUGCGGACAGUGUCUGGUGGGUAGUUUGACUGGGGCGGUCUCCUCCUAAAGAGUAACGGAGGAGCACGAAGGUUGGCUAAUCCUGGUCGGACAUCAGGAGGUUAGUGCAAUGGCAUAAGCCAGCUUGACUGCGAGCGUGACGGCGCGAGCAGGUGCGAAAGCAGGUCAUAGUGAUCCGGUGGUUCUGAAUGGAAGGGCCAUCGCUCAACGGAUAAAAGGUACUCCGGGGAUAACAGGCUGAUACCGCCCAAGAGUUCAUAUCGACGGCGGUGUUUGGCACCUCGAUGUCGGCUCAUCACAUCCUGGGGCUGAAGUAGGUCCCAAGGGUAUGGCUGUUCGCCAUUUAAAGUGGUACGCGAGCUGGGUUUAGAACGUCGUGAGACAGUUCGGUCCCUAUCUGCCGUGGGCGCUGGAGAACUGAGGGGGGCUGCUCCUAGUACGAGAGGACCGGAGUGGACGCAUCACUGGUGUUCGGGUUGUCAUGCCAAUGGCACUGCCCGGUAGCUAAAUGCGGAAGAGAUAAGUGCUGAAAGCAUCUAAGCACGAAACUUGCCCCGAGAUGAGUUCUCCCUGAGACUUUAAGUCUCCUGAAGGAACGUUGAAGACGACGACGUUGAUAGGCCGGGUGUGUAAGCGCAGCGAUGCGUUGAGCUAGCCGGUACUAAUGAACCGUGAGGCUUAACCU
RNAcentral lists this ribosomal RNA (2901 nucleotides) under Escherichia coli. RNAcentral describes it as "bacterial LSU rRNA". It matches the Rfam family "Bacterial large subunit ribosomal RNA". The record is from RNAcentral. Lineage: Bacteria; Pseudomonadati; Pseudomonadota; Gammaproteobacteria; Enterobacterales; Enterobacteriaceae.